This 724-nucleotide ribosomal RNA is filed under the name Actinomycetes bacterium. Its description in RNAcentral is "bacterial SSU rRNA". It matches the Rfam family "Bacterial small subunit ribosomal RNA", at positions 90 to 828 of the family's 1533-position model. The record is from RNAcentral. Lineage: Bacteria; Bacillati; Actinomycetota; Actinomycetes.
CACGAGCGGCGAACGGGUGAGUAACACGUGGGUGAUCUACCCUGUACUUCGGGAUAAGCCUGGGAAACUGGGUCUAAUACCGGAUAUGACCUUCCGAUGCAUGUCGGUGGGUGGAAAGAUUUAUCGGUACAGGAUGGGCCCGCGGCCUAUCAGCUUGUUGGUGGGGUAAUGGCCUACCAAGGCGACGACGGGUAGCCGGCCUGAGAGGGCGACCGGCCACACUGGGACUGAGACACGGCCCAGACUCCUACGGGAGGCAGCAGUGGGGAAUAUUGCACAAUGGGCGAAAGCCUGAUGCAGCGACGCCGCGUGAGGGAUGACGGCCUUCGGGUUGUAAACCUCUUUCGACAGGGACGAAGCGCAAGUGACGGUACCUGUAGAAGAAGCACCGGCCAACUACGUGCCAGCAGCCGCGGUAAUACGUAGGGUGCGAGCGUUGUCCGGAAUUACUGGGCGUAAAGAGCUUGUAGGCGGUUUGUCGCGUCGUCCGUGAAAACUUGGGGCUCAACCCCAAGCUUGCGGGCGAUACGGGCAGACUUGAGUACUGCAGGGGAGACUGGAAUUCCUGGUGUAGCGGUGAAAUGCGCAGAUAUCAGGAGGAACACCGGUGGCGAAGGCGGGUCUCUGGGCAGUAACUGACGCUGAGAAGCGAAAGCGUGGGUAGCGAACAGGAUUAGAUACCCUGGUAGUCCACGCCGUAAACGGUGGGCGCUAGGUGUGGGUU